ACUGGGGUGGCAGAGCAUGGUAUGAUUGCAAAAGACCUAAACCCUUUACACGGAGGUUCAAAUCCUCCCCCCAGCU
RNAcentral lists this transfer RNA (76 nucleotides) under Clypeobarbus pleuropholis. RNAcentral's name for it is "tRNA-Leu". It matches the Rfam family "tRNA". Rfam says of the family: Transfer RNA (tRNA) molecules are approximately 80 nucleotides in length. Their secondary structure includes four short double-helical elements and three loops (D, anti-codon, and T loops). Further hydrogen bonds mediate the characteristic L-shaped molecular structure. tRNAs have two regions of fundamental functional importance: the anti-codon, which is responsible for specific mRNA codon recognition, and the 3' end, to which the tRNAs corresponding amino acid is attached (by aminoacyl-tRNA synthetases). tRNAs cope with the degeneracy of the genetic code in two manners: having more than one tRNA (with a specific anti-codon) for a particular amino acid; and 'wobble' base-pairing, i.e. permitting non-standard base-pairing at the 3rd anti-codon position. The record is from RNAcentral. Lineage: Eukaryota; Metazoa; Chordata; Actinopteri; Cypriniformes; Cyprinidae.